UACGUAGGGACCAAGCGUUGUUCGGAUUUACUGGGCGUAAAGGGCGCGUAGGCGGCUUAACAAGUCACUUGUGAAAUCUCCGGGCUUAACUCGGAACGGCCAAGUGAAACUGUCAAGCUAGAGCGCAGAAGGGGCAAUCGGAAUUCUUGGUGUAGCGGUGAAAUGCGUAGAUAUCAAGAGGAACACCUGAGGUGAAGACGGGUUGCUGGGCUGACACUGACGCUGAGGCGCGAAAGCCAGGGGAGCAAACGGG
RNAcentral lists this ribosomal RNA (253 nucleotides) under uncultured bacterium. RNAcentral's name for it is "partial 16S ribosomal RNA". It matches the Rfam family "Bacterial small subunit ribosomal RNA", at positions 524 to 776 of the family's 1533-position model. The record is from RNAcentral.